Long non-coding RNA from Dermacentor silvarum, 304 nucleotides. RefSeq lists it as uncharacterized. The record is from RefSeq and is a predicted model, not a curated record. The transcript is spliced from 3 exons. NCBI's taxonomy places the organism in Eukaryota, Metazoa, Arthropoda, Arachnida, Ixodida, Ixodidae.
CAGUUGAACCCGUUGACAGCCGGUGGAAGGGUCAGGUAGUCGUGCUCGUCCGUGAGAGGCACCGUAAGCGCCUCAGCACAGCCCAAGCAGACCGACGGUGGGGCAAGGAUCCACAGCAGGGUGAGCUGUAGUGGAAAAGGCAAGUUCAUGACCAUGUUCUUCGCGGUGGCGUGCCCCGACUGAGAGCCGGGCAUCAGGGGUUUAAAUGGUUUGGCAAAUUGGUCUGUGCUGGUGGCGGCGCCAGGUGUCCAACCGAGCAUGCGCACUUCAGCAAGGAGUGGUGGCAGGGCGCAGUUGAACCCGU